AGUAAAGUCAGCUAAAUGAACUUAUAGGCCCAUACCCAAAAAAUGUAGGUUAAAAUCCUCCUAUACUA
Molecule: transfer RNA, 68 nt
Filed under: Tetraodon lineatus
Lineage: Eukaryota; Metazoa; Chordata; Actinopteri; Tetraodontiformes; Tetraodontidae
Description: tRNA-Met
Source: RNAcentral